GGAAUCUUGGACAAUGGGCGCAAGCCUGAUCCAGCCAUGCCGCGUGAGUGAUGAAGGCCCUAGGGUUGUAAAACUCUUUCGUCAGGGACGAUACUGACGGUACCUGAAGAAGCAGCCCCGGCUAACUUCGUGCCAGCAGCCGCGGUACUACGAAGGGGGCUAGCGUUGUUCGGAUUUACUGGGCGUAAGGCGCGUGUAGGCGGGUCGUUAAGUGGGGGGUGAAAUCCCGAGGCUCAACCUCGGAACUGCCUUCAAAACUGGCGACCUGGAGCAAAGAAGAGGCGAGUGGAAUUGUGAGUGUAGAGGUGAAAUUCGUAGAUAUUCGCAGGAACACCAGUGGCGAAGGCGACUCGCUGGUCUUUUGCUGACGCUGAGACGCGAAAGCGUGGGGAGCAAAC
This 398-nucleotide ribosomal RNA is filed under the name uncultured bacterium. RNAcentral's name for it is "bacterial SSU rRNA". It matches the Rfam family "Bacterial small subunit ribosomal RNA", at positions 358 to 773 of the family's 1533-position model. The record is from RNAcentral.